This 71-nucleotide transfer RNA is filed under the name Rallus obsoletus yumanensis. Its description in RNAcentral is "tRNA-Pro". It matches the Rfam family "tRNA". Rfam says of the family: Transfer RNA (tRNA) molecules are approximately 80 nucleotides in length. Lineage: Eukaryota; Metazoa; Chordata; Aves; Gruiformes; Rallidae. The record is from RNAcentral.
CAGAGAAUAGUUUAAGUGUAGAAUACCAGCUUUGGGAGUUGGAGAUAAAGGUUCAAGUCCUUUUUUUCUGA